Physeter macrocephalus (sperm whale) is the source of this 635-nucleotide long non-coding RNA. RefSeq lists it as uncharacterized. The transcript is spliced from 4 exons. NCBI's taxonomy places the organism in Eukaryota, Metazoa, Chordata, Mammalia, Artiodactyla, Physeteridae. The record is from RefSeq and is a predicted model, not a curated record.
AUGCUUGCUAAUGAAGCAGCUGGGUAAGAUGACUUUUCUAAGGUUGGUGAUUCAUUUAUUACUGUAUAAUGUGAUUAUCAGCCAAAGAUGCCUUGCUAUCUUCUUGUUAAUUCAAAUUUGUCUGUUUAGAAAUCUGACUAGAAGAAAACUAAGAUUAUUUUAAUUAUUCUCUGGAAGAAAAACUUGGGUAAAUUAUCAAAUUUUUCACUUCAUGAAGUUGUUUUUGCCUACUGGUAUAAGGACUAUUGCAAAUGUGCACAUUGUAUGAGUUUUCACCAAGGACAGCCUCCUAAGCAGUGUUAUGACAACCUGAUUGUGUUAAGCACUGAUGGCCAUGGGAAGUUUGCCUGAGUGAAGACUGGAGAAUCAGACCCAAGCUCUUGAGUACAGAGACUAUAAUUGAAAAAUUGGAAGUCUUAACCCAGCAGUCCAACUCCAGAGGCUCUGUUGUCAACUAUGCUCCACUCACUUUAAUUUCAGAUUUGCAAACCACAGCACAGAAGUCCUACCACAAAAUGAAAGACAAAUGACAAAAUGGAGAAGUAUUUAUUACAUGUGUAAUGUAUCAUGUAAAGCCAUUUAAUUCACUUCAUGAAGCAAGUAUACAACUGAUUUCAAAAUAUCACAAAGAUGGC